RNAcentral lists this long non-coding RNA (1023 nucleotides) under Homo sapiens (human). Its description in RNAcentral is "novel transcript". Lineage: Eukaryota; Metazoa; Chordata; Mammalia; Primates; Hominidae. The record is from RNAcentral.
AAGUGCUUCGGUCAGGCAGUAUCUUUGAAAAUAAUUUGGCCAAUGAAAGCCCUGGCAUUGGAUGAAAGUGCUAGCUGCUGGGAAUGCUACCCCUCCUUUUGGUUCUCUUUCAAGUCCUUCAGGUUCAAACAAUACAGAAGUGUAUAAAGUAAGAAUUGAAAGUCUCUUCGCUGCUCUAAUCUCACUCCUCAGAGGUGAUCACUGAUUAUCAUCCCAGAGCCCUCCCUGAAGCCCACACACAGCUUCUUCAGGAAAUGCUGACAGCAUGGUAUACACAUGGCUUCCAUGUUUGUCAUGGUUCCAAAGUUUGCUUUUGAAAGAGUUUAAUUUCUUUCUUUCUUUCUUUCUUUCUUUCCUUUAUUGGCUAAACUCCCCCCACAGGACCUGAGUGAGCAGAAGGCUUUUCAGAAUUACAGCCUGAACUAUUUCUUGAGCAAUUUGGGAACUCAUUUCUAAAGCAGUCCUCAGAUUCACACAACGUAGUUUGUGACGGAGUAUGCCCAGAGCAGUGUUAUCACCAGUGCUUUCAGUAACUGCAUACUUAUAAAACAGCCAAACUUCAACCUGUGUUCAGUUUUUAUCUGUUUCUUGGGAAUGUAAUUUGGACAAAAAAGUUACCAAUGUAUUUACAACCAAAUUUCAGAUCUUCAACAUUACAGAGGCUGUCUUGUUGAUGGGGGUGCACCCUGACGAAUGGUGUGCUGGCAAAGAUUUAACAAAAGGCUCCAGAGGAGGGCAGACUUGAAGUGGAGCCUUCAGUGGGCAGUGUGAAGGGUGCUGAUUUCAAACAACUCAUCUGGUAUGACUGAACAUGAAGUUGGGAAGAGAUGUGCAUAAUUGAAGUGGGUGAGAGCCAGUCCAGCACCCUGCAGAGAGUGUGGAAGAUGAUCAAAGUAUGACAUUUCUUCUACCCCAGAGGCUGGCAUUUCUGCAGGCACAAAUGAGCUUGGUUUUCAAGCACUGCUCUUUGAACACAAGGAAUUCCUUUAAUGAUCACGCCGGACUAUAUAGACUUUGGAAUCA